Long non-coding RNA from Pyrus x bretschneideri (Chinese white pear), 481 nucleotides. RefSeq lists it as uncharacterized. Lineage: Eukaryota; Viridiplantae; Streptophyta; Magnoliopsida; Rosales; Rosaceae. The transcript is spliced from 3 exons. The record is from RefSeq and is a predicted model, not a curated record.
GGAGGAUACGAAAGCCCAGAGAGCAACGGAGAGACUGAGAAAUGGAGAAGUACUUCGGUAACGCGUAUAGAGGAGACCCGGGUGUCCCACAUGCCGACCCGGAACGACUUGUGUACAUAUGGAUCGGGUCCACCGCCUCUCAGCCCUCACUUGGGUCAAUCCCUACAUGUGGCAGCUCUCCAAUCAUUUCAAUUGGCAUGACAAAGCAAUGCUGUUUGAGCAGUACCAUUGGAAAAAGGCAAUGAAGCUUUAAGUGGAACGAAUACAUGGACAAGGACCAAAGGGAGUCCUACUAUUUCAACUGGCCUGUUUACUUCCCUUCGCUGUUUUACGUGUAUGUCGAAAUGGGCUUGCUCUUGUUUCGAAUUACUUAGCUGAAACUCUAGUUGCACGAAGGGUUAUAAGGUUUAUAAUGCUCCUUCAUUGUAAUCAUCUUCUGUUUUGGAUCGAAUGCUUAAAUACGAAUUUUAUUUUCUGCAAA